GACGAACGCUGGCGGCGUGCCUAAUACAUGCAAGUUGAGCGAUGAAGAUUGGUGCUUGCACCAAUUUGAAGAGCAGCGAACGGGUGAGUAACGCGUGGGGAAUCUGCCUUUGAGCGGGGGACAACAUUUGGAAACGAAUGCUAAUACCGCAUAAUAACUUUAAAAAUAAGUUUUAAGUUUGAAAGAUGCAAUUGCAUCACUCAAAGAUGAUCCCGCGUUGUAUUAGCUAGUUGGUGAGGUAAAGGCUCACCAAGGCGAUGAUACAUAGCCGACCUGAGAGGGUGGUCGGCCACAUUGGGACUGGGACACGGCCCAAACUCCUACGGGAGGCAGCAGGAGGGAAUCUUCGGCAAUGGACGAAAGUCUGACCGAGCAACGCCGCGGGAGGGAAGAAGGUUUUCGGAUCGUAAAACUCUGUUGGUAGAGAAGAACGUUGGUGGGAGUGAAAAGCUCAUCAAGUGACGGUAACUACCCAGAAAGGGACGGCUAACUACGUG
RNAcentral lists this ribosomal RNA (497 nucleotides) under uncultured bacterium. RNAcentral describes it as "partial 16S ribosomal RNA". It matches the Rfam family "Bacterial small subunit ribosomal RNA", at positions 28 to 507 of the family's 1533-position model. The record is from RNAcentral.